RNAcentral lists this unclassified non-coding RNA (163 nucleotides) under soil metagenome. RNAcentral describes it as "partial internal transcribed spacer 1". The record is from RNAcentral.
ACGGAGUUUUAAUUGUUAGGUUAGAGUUAGACUGGUUAAUCUAAUUAAUAUGUGCUUACUCUAAUCGAAACCAAGUCCACUCAUUGACUUAACACUUGUGAACUUAUUCAUUACAAACAUUAUUAUUUGUUAUUGGAACGUUUGCAUUGAUUAAAAGUUAAUA